AUGUGCUUGCCAUGUAUGCAUGUGGGCAUGUGCAUGUGCAUGUACAUUAUAUAUGUGUGUAUGAAUGUAAGUACAC
This 76-nucleotide microRNA precursor is filed under the name Microtus ochrogaster (prairie vole). Its description in RNAcentral is "miRNA (ENSMOCG00000007317.1)". Lineage: Eukaryota; Metazoa; Chordata; Mammalia; Rodentia; Cricetidae. The record is from RNAcentral.